AACGAACGCUGGCGGCAUGCCUAACACAUGCAAGUCGAACGAGACCUUCGGGUCUAGUGGCGCACGGGUGCGUAACGCGUGGGAACCUGCCCUUAGGUUCGGAAUAACUCCCCGAAAGGGGUGCAAUACCGGAUAAUGUCUUCGGACCAAAGAUUUAUCGCCUUUGGAUGGGCCCGCGUUGGAUUAGCUAGUUGGUAGGGUAAAAGCCUACCAAGGCGACGAUCCAUAGCUGGUCUGAGAGGAUGAUCAGCCACACUGGGACUGAGACACGGCCCAGACUCCUACGGGAGGCAGCAGUGGGGAAUAUUGGACAAUGGGCGAAAGCCUGAUCCAGCAAUGCCGCGUGAGUGAUGAAGGCCUUAGGGUUGUAAAGCUCUUUUACCCGGGAUGAUAAUGACAGUACCGGGAGAAUAAGCUCCGGCUAACUCCGUG
RNAcentral lists this ribosomal RNA (432 nucleotides) under uncultured bacterium. Its description in RNAcentral is "partial 16S ribosomal RNA". It matches the Rfam family "Bacterial small subunit ribosomal RNA", at positions 29 to 507 of the family's 1533-position model. The record is from RNAcentral.